GUGAAUCAUCCGAAUUUUUGAACGCAAAUUGCACUCUCCUCGGAGAGUAUGCCUGUUUGAGGGUCAGCCUAAAAAAAAUCGACAUAGUUGCGGUCCCGCGGGGACGUUCGUCGGAAAUUGGGGUAUCUGAAACCGUUUGGAUUAAGCGACUGAAAAGUUUACUUGUGAUGCCAGGAACGGAUCUAAGAUUUAUUACUGUACACGAGGAAGGUAUCGAGUUUUAUUAGAAGUGGCGGUCAUAUCGGAGCGAGGCAAUAAUG
This 260-nucleotide unclassified non-coding RNA is filed under the name Glomus sp. RNAcentral describes it as "partial contains 5.8S ribosomal RNA and internal transcribed spacer 2". The stretch from base 1 to 66 matches the Rfam family "5.8S ribosomal RNA", at positions 84 to 154 of the family's 154-position model. The record is from RNAcentral. Lineage: Eukaryota; Fungi; Glomeromycota; Glomeromycetes; Glomerales; Glomeraceae.